This 253-nucleotide ribosomal RNA is filed under the name uncultured bacterium. Its description in RNAcentral is "partial 16S ribosomal RNA". It matches the Rfam family "Bacterial small subunit ribosomal RNA", at positions 524 to 776 of the family's 1533-position model. The record is from RNAcentral.
UACGGGGGGGGCAAGCGUUGUUCGGAAUUACUGGGCGUAAAGGGCUCGUAGGUGGCCAACUAAGUCAGACGUGAAAUCCCUCGGCUUAACCGGGGAACUGCGUCUGACACUGGGUGGCUUGAAUCCGGGAGAGGGAUGCGGAAUUCCAGGUGUAGCGGUGAAAUGCGUAGAUAUCUGGAGGAAUACCGGUGGCGAAGGCGGCAUCCUGGACCGGCAUUGACGCUGAGGAGCGAAAGCCAGGGGAGCAAACGGG